UACAGAGGGUGCGAGCGUUGUCCGGAAUCACUGGGCGUAAAGGGCGCGUAGGUGGCGCGGUAAGCGUGCGGUGAAAGCUCGGGGCUCAACCCCGAGUCGGCCGUGCGAACUGCCGGGCUUGAGCACUGUAGAGGCGGGUGGAAUUCCGGGUGUAGCGGUGGAAUGCGUAGAGAUCCGGAAGAACACCGGUGGCGAAGGCGGCCCGCUGGGCAGUAGCUGACACUGAGGCGCGACAGCGUGGGGAGCAAACAGG
Molecule: ribosomal RNA, 253 nt
Filed under: uncultured bacterium
Lineage: Bacteria
Description: partial 16S ribosomal RNA
Rfam family: Bacterial small subunit ribosomal RNA
Source: RNAcentral